AUUGAACGCUGGCGGCAUGCCUUACACAUGCAAGUCGAACGGCAGCAUGGAGAGCUUGCUCUCUGAUGGCGAGUGGCGAACGGGUGAGUAAUGCAUCAGAACGUACCGUGUAAUGGGGGAUAACGUAGCGAAAGUUACGCUAAUACCGCAUACGACCUGAGGGUGAAAGCAGGGGAUCGCAAGACCUUGCGUUAUACGAGCGGCCGAUGUCAGAUUAGCUAGUUGGUGAGGUAAGGCUCACCAAGGCGACGAUCUGUAGCGGGUCUGAGAGGAUGAUCCGCCACACUGGGACUGAGACACGGCCCAGACUCCUACGGGAGGCAGCAGUGGGGAAUUUUGGACAAUGGGGGCAACCCUGAUCCAGCCAUGCCGCGUGAGUGAAGAAGGCCUUCGGGUUGUAAAGCUCUUUCGGCCGGGAAGAAAUCGCACAGGCUAAUACCCUGUGUGGAUGACGGUACCGGCAUAAGAAGCACCGGCUAACUACGUGCCAGCCGCCGCGGUAA
RNAcentral lists this ribosomal RNA (503 nucleotides) under uncultured bacterium. RNAcentral describes it as "partial 16S ribosomal RNA". It matches the Rfam family "Bacterial small subunit ribosomal RNA", at positions 30 to 523 of the family's 1533-position model. The record is from RNAcentral.